RNAcentral lists this long non-coding RNA (1908 nucleotides) under Phasianus colchicus (ring-necked pheasant). RNAcentral describes it as "lncRNA (ENSPCLG00000003262.1)". Lineage: Eukaryota; Metazoa; Chordata; Aves; Galliformes; Phasianidae. The record is from RNAcentral.
CCCGGCGCCAAAAAGCGGGAACGCGGCGAGAACUUGAGCGCGACACCCCGGACUCCCCCGGCGGAGGCCAGGCGCAGCCCGUCUCAGCGGCGCGGCGGCGACCCGCGGGGCUCCGGGAAGAGCGGGCACCACCAGCCGCCCCGCUGGCCGCCGCCGGCAACUUUUCCUCCCUCCCGCCGCCACCCGCCCCUCGCCGCGCCGCCCCGGGUCAUCCGUUGCCCGCCCGCCCCCCGCAGCCGCCACCCCGCGCCCCCGGCCACCGCCCGCAGCGCCCCGCUACCCACCUCGGCUGCGAAGUGACGGGGGUCCCCCCGCUGCCGCCGCGGAGCCGCUUUUCCCCCUCUCCCCUCCUCCCCGCUCCGGUCGCCGCCUCUGCCCGGAGCCGGAUACGGAGAGAAACUGAUUCGCGUGGCCGCUUCCCUCGUUCUUCGCGCCGCCUCCCUCGGCGGAGCGCUCGGCAGCGGCCCCGAGCAGGCAAAACGCCGGCAGCGCCGAGGGCAGAGGCGCCCCGGCCACCCCCGCUCGGAAACUCUCCGGGGAAAGCAGCGCGAGCGAGCCCGGCUCCCCGCCGCCCCGCGCUGCCAAUCACGGGGGCGGCCCCGCGCGGAUUGGGCGGCCCCGCCGCCAGCAACCCCCCCUCCGGCAACUCGGGGCGCGCCGCCGGGGGCAGGACCCGCGGUCACCGCGCUGCGACGAGGAAGGGAGCCGCGGGGCCGGCGGCAAAUUCCUCCACGCGCGCCCUCGCGUCCCCGGUGCUCCCGCCGCCCCUCCGGCGCUGCGCCGUCGCCCGGCGAGACCUGCCCGCCCCCAGCGGCCCCGCCGGAGCCCCCCGCCGCGUGGGCAGGAAGGGCGGGGGCCGGCGGCCGUUCCGCGCUGUGAGGCGAUACCUCGGCUGCAGCCUGGUGAGGGCUUCCCCGAGAUUUUCCUUUCAUGAGUAAAACUAUUAAAGAGUGUCCAAAUGAAAGCUACAAAGACGGUGAAGGUCUACAGAGGAAGAUGUAUGAGGAGCAGCUGAGUUGCCUUGGUUUGCUCAGCCCAGAACAGAGAAGCUGAGGGGAGGCCUGAUGGCAGCUGCAGCUCUCACAAGGAGUGGAGGGACAGCGCUGAGCUCUGCUGUCUGACAGUGACAGGGCCUGAGGGAACGGCAUGGGGCUGUGUCAGGGGAGGGCAGGUUGGGUGUCAUCAGAAGGUGGUAGGCAUGGAAUUGGCUGCCCAGGGCAGUGGUCAUGGCACCGAGCUGAUGGAGUUCAAGAAGCAUCUGGACAACGCUCUCAGACACAUGGUCUGAUUUUUGGGUGGUGCUAUGUGGACUCCAUGAUCCUUAUGUGUCCCUUACAACUUGGGUCAUUCUAUGAUUCUAUGAAUGUGGUUAUUCAGAUGUGUUUUGAACUACUGCCAUACACAAAAUGAAACAUUUCUGAUAAACCAAAGUCUCAGAAGUGGCCACAAAAUUGGCCUUUGCUUAUUGAUACCUUGCUUAUCCUCGCAAGCUCAAGUUUCCAAAGCAGGUCAUGUAAUAUAAAUGCAAACCAUGUACUUUCUUUGCCAUAACUUUUGAAUGUCAUUGAGUGAAGAAACUUUCUUGCUAUUAUUCAAUGUUGGCCUCAGCAGGCCUUAUUUGUUUACUUGUUAAAUGAAAUAAGGAUUAUAAUGGAAUCAAAAGACACUUUUGUGACAAUAUUUAACUAUGAGAAGUUGCUGCCAUGUGCACAUAUUAGCUAUUUCCAUAAAAUCCUAUUAAAUAUCAGAGUUCCACAGCUAAGCUAAUAUUACCCAUUGAACUUUUCUAACUCAAAUAGCGUGGCAGCAGAAACCUGCCAAGAAACAAACCAUGUUUAAGUCCCAAACCAGUAAUUACAUGACCAGUAUUUAAAUAAACCAAAUACUAUUAGGAUGUUUUUACUAAUA